UGUUGAGUAAGAAGGGAUUAUUAAGUCACAAUACAAUUAGCUAAAAUGUAGUAUAACGUUAUGCUCCAAUGUAUCGUCGCGUUAGCAAAAGACGAAUGUGUUGCGCAAUGCAUUAUUUAUACUAAGGACAGGUUGGACCUAGCUAACGGCAGUAUUUUUUUGAGCCUAGCAAACUAGCGUCGUUAUAUGUACUGUAGCUAGUAACACUAGCAUCCUUUUUGUUGGCUGGUACUAGCUGCCGUUUAUGUUGGCAGGAGCAUGGCUUUGUGUAGCUCCGGGAGAUAGGGGGCAAGUCUUCACUAACAUUUGGGUACCUGAAGUUGUAGGGGUGUUUGUGCCAGAAGUGUGGUAGGAACAAAUGUUGGAUGACUUCUCUUUGGCUACUAUUGGAAAAUCUACAUUAAACUGACAUUUCCCUUAUCAUGACCAUAAGAGAGUCUGCUUAAAAUUUAAGGUGCAGGAGACUGACAUGGGAAGUAAAAUGUCCUUCAGUAGAAGAGUCAAUGAUAAGGAAACAGAGUCAUCAUUAUCUGCCUCCCACAACAACCCUCCUGAACCCUUGCAUGCCCUGACUACCGACAAACAGGUAACUACAACAGGAUCUCCAUUGCCUCUAUCAUAAUGUGUGCUUCUUC
Molecule: long non-coding RNA, 635 nt
Organism: Esox lucius (northern pike)
Lineage: Eukaryota; Metazoa; Chordata; Actinopteri; Esociformes; Esocidae
Source: Ensembl